GACGUAGGGAGCAAGCGUUGUCCGGAUUUACUGGGCGUAAAGAGCACGUAGGCGGACUGUUAAGUGUGAAGUGAAAUCUCCAGCGCUCAACGCGGAAAUUGCUUCGCAUACUGGCAGACUAGAGGGUUGCAGAGGUAACUGGAAUUCCCGGUGUAGCGGUGACAUGCAUUGAUAUCGGGAGGAACUCCAAAGGCGAAGGCAGGUUACUGGGCAUCUCCUGACGCUGAGGUGCGAAAGCGUGGGUAGCAAACAGG
RNAcentral lists this ribosomal RNA (254 nucleotides) under uncultured bacterium. RNAcentral's name for it is "partial 16S ribosomal RNA". It matches the Rfam family "Bacterial small subunit ribosomal RNA", at positions 524 to 776 of the family's 1533-position model. The record is from RNAcentral.